UUCAAUUGCAGGCGCAGUCAUGGAGCUGCGGGCUGUACACGUGAGGUAACCGAAUUAACGUUUAAGCGGUCUUGUAAGGCCGUCGGCUUCACGGGGCCAUCCGGAUAGGGUGGCCUUUUACUGUAA
Molecule: non-coding RNA, 126 nt
Filed under: Gleimia europaea ACS-120-V-Col10b
Lineage: Bacteria; Bacillati; Actinomycetota; Actinomycetes; Actinomycetales; Actinomycetaceae
Description: Actinomyces europaeus ACS-120-V-Col10b DUF3800-I RNA
Rfam family: DUF3800-I RNA
About the family: Actinobacteria, Firmicutes, Fusobacteria, Proteobacteria (1 example), Tenericutes (2 examples). Terminator (Clostridia)
Source: Rfam by way of RNAcentral